AUGACAAUAAAUAAAAGCCAAGGUCAAUCCCUAAACAAGGUGGGUCUAUAUUUGCCUAAGCAAGUCUUCUGCCAUGGGCAACUAUAUGUGGCACUAUCAAGAGUCACAAGCAGAGAAGGAUUAAAGGUGCUGAUUGACGACACGGAGUGCCCAAGCGAAGAUAGCGCAAAGAAUAUAGUAUACAAAGAGAUCUUCUAA
This 198-nucleotide ribosomal RNA is filed under the name Triticum aestivum (bread wheat). RNAcentral describes it as "partial small subunit ribosomal RNA". The record is from RNAcentral. Lineage: Eukaryota; Viridiplantae; Streptophyta; Magnoliopsida; Poales; Poaceae.